This 1808-nucleotide long non-coding RNA is filed under the name Piliocolobus tephrosceles (Ugandan red Colobus). RNAcentral describes it as "lncRNA (ENSPTEG00000038938.1)". Lineage: Eukaryota; Metazoa; Chordata; Mammalia; Primates; Cercopithecidae. The record is from RNAcentral.
AUGAUUCUGUUUUGGGAACAUUCUGUAAUUCUUCAUAGAUUUUUAAAUUGGAAGGGGAGUGUCUUAGUUUCUCUUAUUUAUCCUCCCCCUUUCAGAGGAGACAGCAAGACCCAGAAAAGUGAAGAACCUGCCUGGACAUGGUCAGUGGCAGAGUCAGAAGUGGAACUCAAGCCUUUUACUUGUCCCCCCACGUUUUUGACGCAGAGUUUUUAUAUAGCUCCUCAAGGGGAGGAGGGAACAGAAGGGGCCCUGCAGUCCAAGAAGCAGAUGAAAUAAUUUUCCUACAGAUAUUGCUUCAAGGAUCAGGCUGGAACUCACAGAGCACCAGAACAACGAAGGAUACAAACAUCCCAAAGGUGUACAUUAAGAUUAAAUUUGCACAUUGAACAGGAAAAAAUUGCACUUUAUGACUGAACUUUUGAGUUGUUUCUGCAUGGAUUUUAGAUAAGCAUAUGUAAUGAAAUAUUGUAAAGCAUAGACAGCAAUAUCUGCCAGCCACAUUUAUUAAGAUUGAAUGCACAUGGAGCAUUAAGAUGCCAUACAAUACAAUUUGUUAUGUUAAAUUUUAAGAAAUUUCAAGGCAGAUUAUUAGAACAUUAGGAUAAGUUACCUGCCUUAUUCUUCUACUAUUAUCAUUCCUAUUAUUGUUAUUUUUUCUCUCUCAUCAUUAGCAACCUUCAUUUCUUUGGUGUUUGCAGGCAUCCACUACCUUGAAAACCCUUUUGGUUUUUCAUUUCCUUUCUUUCUUCCUUGCCUUCUUCUCCACUCUCCCUUCCUGUUCUCUCACGCUCUCUCUCUCUCCAUCUCCAGUUAUCCAGAUGUUUUCUUUAAUGCUAAAAUUAAUGCCACUUUUGAAUUCAUUCUUUGAUUUUAAGCUUUAAACACCUGAUCUUUUCUGCCUUGUACUUCACUACUGAAUUGUAUUUAGAAUUUUGUCAAGUCUAGUUUGGUUCAGUGGGCUCUUCUCUAUUUAAGACCUUAGGUCCUGGCUUCUCCAGGUUAAGUGGAAUCACUUGCUCUAAACAGGAUGCUUCUCUUCACUGUGUGAUCAUAGGCCUAUGAUGGCUGUGCUAGGAAACGACAUUGACUUCAGAUCCAUGGCUCAUUAAAACACUGUACAGAGUUUCAAAAAAGAAUGCUAACAUAAGCGUGUGCCUUAGACUGUUUAAAAAGGCCAUGUAAUUACAGUCAAUAAGAAUAUAUACUGAGUAAAACUACAGGAAAGUAGGAUUUUAUGCCUGCAGCCUGACAUAAUAUAAUUACAUGCAUUAUAUAUAGACUUGAAUGAAAAUGAAACCACCUCAGCAGCCUUUUCGUAUAAAUGGGUCUUGACAGGACUAUUCUUCUUGGCUCCUGAGGAGGGGUUUCCUCAAGAGAAUGUAUUAAAGGGGAAAUAAUAUUUGGAUUUUCUGACUUUCAUGAAUGUCUGUAAAAAGUGUCUAGCUUCCUUUUGUGUCAUGGAUGUUUGAGUGUCGUGGGUGUUUGUAAAGCCCAUCUGCUAUGAUAGCCAUGGGAAGUGAACCAUGGCUGCCUAAUCAGCUCCAGUUUGUCCUGGUGGUUCUAGAGCCCAGUCCUAAGCCCAAAGUCAAAAUGAGAUGCUUGGGAAACAGAAAUAGGGAGAUGGUUGGUGGAGAGGACAUUUUUAGUAUUGGCAAUCUAACUGUAGAACUGUAUUUGGUGAACCAAUACAUCUCUAGUAAAAAUAACUAGUAUGAAAGGUGCUUUUUAAAAAAGUGACUUCCACUUCUAAAUAGCAUGCAGGUAACUCGUUAAAUAAAGAGGCUCAAAUUAUGUACUUGCUGAAAACU